This 515-nucleotide ribosomal RNA is filed under the name Kluyvera sp. INBio3713F. Its description in RNAcentral is "bacterial SSU rRNA". It matches the Rfam family "Bacterial small subunit ribosomal RNA", at positions 250 to 757 of the family's 1533-position model. Lineage: Bacteria; Pseudomonadati; Pseudomonadota; Gammaproteobacteria; Enterobacterales; Enterobacteriaceae. The record is from RNAcentral.
AGGUGGGGUAACGGCUCCCUUAGGUGUUGAUCCCUACCUGGUAUGAGAGGAGGACCAGCCACACUCUAAGGGAAACACGGUCCAGACUCCUACGGGAGGCAGCAGUGGGGAAUAUUGCACAAUGGGCGCAAGCCUGAUGCAGCCAUGCCGCGUGUAUGAAGAAGGCCUUCGGGUUGUAAAGUACUUUCAGAGAGGAGGAAGGCAUUAAGGUUAAUAACCUUGGGGAUUGACGUUACUCGCAGAAGAAGCACCGGCUAACUCCGUGCCAGCAGCCGCGGUAAUACGGAGGGUGCAAGCGUUCAUCGGAAUUACUGGGCGUAAAGCGCACGCAGGCGGUCUGUCAAGUCGGAUGUGAAAUCCCCGGGCUCAACCUGGGAACUGCAUUCGAAACUGGCAGGCUAGAGUCUUGUAGAGGGGGGUACGAAUUCCAGGUGUAGCGGUGAAAUGCGUAGAGAUCUGGAGGAAUACCCGGUGGCGAAGGCGGCCCCCUGGAUCAAAGACUACGUUCAGUCAAG